CUAUUAUUUCCCCUCCUGCACAGGUGGUAGGCUCAGCUUUUCCCCUCCCAGUGUUACAGCCAGGGCAGCUGUAUCAGAGCAUGUAUAAUUAAUUAAUUAUACAUGCCUUAGUAUAUAAUUAAGUAUAGGGGUGGUGUAGGGGGAAUACAUCAAUGACUGUGUGGAAGAAGAGAUAUAGGAGGUAUAUUGUAACUCGUUCACAGUUUGUAGGUUUCUCCACCCCCUAGGGCAAUGCAACUGCCCUCUGUAAUUGAACCCUCAGCUUUAACUUCUUUUUUUUUUUUUUUUUAACAGCAGAACAAUAAUGGCAAUGAAUAAAGAGACUGUGAUCUAGAGUUCAACUUCAGUGAAACUGUGAGGAUGGGAGACUAAGAUCUUAAAGAAGUUGAAGUCAGUGUUUUUCCUGGAAGACAUUCCAAGCGUACAGCAGCAACAAGAAAUAUCAGCAUACAGGUGGAGCAUACUCUCAGCACAUUUGCAGAUGACAAGUUGGAGAAGAGCAACAAACACUGGAGAUCAGGUCUGUUCCACCGCUGGAACUCAACAGGUUGGAGAAAUGAACUGAAAGGAGCACCUGGAAGUUCAACAAAGGAAAAAGGAAUGUCUGUACCUGGGAUGGAAUAAGUCAGAAUCUUAAAGGAAAAUUGGGUUGACUGGCUGGAAAGCAAUUUAGGAAGAAAACAAAACCAACUCAAACAAAAAAACAAGAGGGAGAAAAAACAAUGAAAAAAAUACAAAACAAAAUUAAAAGAUCAGCAAUCUUGGAGGACCAGUUACACAGGAGUCAACAGUGUGGCUCUAUAGUGAAAAAAGCUAUUAUGUUCUGUCUGUACUAGCAAAAGUGUGGCUAGUUCAGUGAGUCCAGUGGAGUGCCACCAAGGUGAUUAAUGGUGGCUGAAGCAUGUGAUGUACAGUGAGAGGCUGGGUAAAUUUGUUUGGCCUCAAGAAGGGAAGGCUAAGAGGGCACGUUACUGCUGUCCUCAACUGCCUAAUGGGAGAGUAGGGAGAAAAUGGAGACAGACUUCUUUUGGUGAUCCUCAGUGACAGGAAGGGAAGCAAUGGGCGCAGGCGGCAAGACACUAAGAGAUUUGUUUUUCUUUCAUCACAUUUUGCGUAUUAUUUCUAGAUGAAAAACUGUAAGUACAUCUCAAAAUAAAUACCAAAAAAACCCCUCAGAAGCAUCUCUACAAAAAAUGCUUAUAACUAUAGAUACUCUUUCCAGCAUUCGUAGUUGAACAAAGGACUUGAUCUUUGCAAUUGUAACAAACGGACUUUGUCAGUGCUCAGUACGUUAAGAACAAAAUAAAAAUGAGCUUACAUAUAACUGAUGUCAUGUGUACGCAAUUUGUUUCUACUCUAUGUUCAGACUGUGGUCCAAGUCUGCUAGAAGUAAUGGAAAUAUUUCCAUCAGAGCAUUUAGCAAAGUGGGGCCACUUGGAAAUACCCAAAUUAGCAAAUUCUGAACAAGCUGACUUGAAUACUGAAGCCAGUUUUUAACAGUCUUUUAACAUAACCUGGGAGGAGCACUGCAGCUGCAUUGCUUCUGGUAUAAAAGAUAUAGCUUCAUGAGAGCCAGUUUGGGUGUCAUUACAAAAUGAGGGCUGUGGAGAUAUGAUUUUAGGUUCUGUGAAAGAAUACUGUGUCAGUACAGACUAUUUAGACUGGUGGAAAUCUGGUUAGAUUUAGCAAAUACAUGAAUGUAGCGUUAAGGCAGGAAAUAGCUUCGCCUACGUAGCACAAUCAGAACAUAUUUAUUUUGUUAAUGUUAUAUUACCAUAAAAUAAGGGAAAUUAAAUCACAAUUUAAUUGUUCAUCAUGUUGCAGAACACAUUGUAUCUCAAGCUGUCAUGGAAACUAGUUAUCAUUUCUUUCAUCCUUAAAUCAUACACAAAAAAAUUGUUGAGGAAAGAUAGAGGGAUCACAAUAUUUGUAUGAGAGAGAUUAAUGAGCUGUCUAAGCUGAUUGCUUUUGCCAUAACUCAUAUUUCACGAUAUUGUAUGAAUGUGUAAAUGAGAUUUUUUUUAAGUUUAAAUGAAAAAAAAAGUUUAUCAAUACAGAUCUAAUAUUAUGCAUACCAAGUAAUGAGUUUUAUUUUCUAUUUAUUCCAUUUUUCUUAGUGGUAAAAUAUGCAAUGUACCCUAACUAUUUCAAAAGUGUAUCAUCUGCUGAUCAUUUGAUUCCAUAGCCCUUUUUCCUAGACACUUGUCAUAUGAUUACAUUUUACAGUAUAAUAUGAAUAUAUUCAUGGAGAAUUCAUCUGAUUCUAUUCAUAGUACAACCUACACAAC
This is a long non-coding RNA of Pezoporus occidentalis (night parrot), 2288 nucleotides long. RefSeq lists it as uncharacterized. NCBI's taxonomy places the organism in Eukaryota, Metazoa, Chordata, Aves, Psittaciformes, Psittacidae. The transcript has 3 exons. The record is from RefSeq and is a predicted model, not a curated record.